AAGGUGGAUUUGUAAGUAAUUAUUUUUAUAGAAUUAAUAAAUGAAGGGUGGAAUAACAUGUGUACAUAUUGCCCGUCGCUCUCGUUAUUUUUUGAGAUAAGUCGUAACAUAGUUGAUGAACUGGAAAGUGUAUCUUUUUGA
Molecule: ribosomal RNA, 141 nt
Filed under: Brachoria sp. n. 2644
Lineage: Eukaryota; Metazoa; Arthropoda; Diplopoda; Polydesmida; Xystodesmidae
Description: partial small subunit ribosomal RNA
Source: RNAcentral